AAUACAUGCAAGUAAACGCUGAAGGAGGAGCUUGCUUCUCCGGAUGAGUUGCGAACGGGUGAGUAACGCGUAGGUAACCUGCCUGGUAGCGGGGGAUAACUAUUGGAAACGAUAGCUAAUACCGCAUAACAGUAGAUAUUGCAUGAUAUCUGCUUGAAAGGUGCAAUUGCAUCACUACCAGAUGGACCUGCGUUGUAUUAGCUAGUUGGUGGGGUAACGGCUCACCAAGGCGACGAUACAUAGCCGACCUGAGAGGGUGAUCGGCCACACUGGGACUGAGACACGGCCCAGACUCCUACGGGAGGCAGCAGUAGGGAAUCUUCGGCAAUGGACGGAAGUCUGACCGAGCAACGCCGCGUGAGUGAAGAAGGUUUUCGGAUCGUAAAGCUCUGUUGUAAGAGAAGAACGAGUGUGAGAGUGGAAAGUUCACACUGUGACGGUAUCUUACCAGAAAGGGACGGCUAACUACGUGCCAGCAGCCGCGGUAAUACGUAGGUCCCGAGCGUUGUCCGGAUUUAUUGGGCGUAAAGCGAGCGCAGGCGGUUAGAUAAGUCUGAAGUUAAAGGCUGUGGCUUAACCAUAGUACGCUUUGGAAACUGUUUAACUUGAGUGCAAGAGGGGAGAGUGGAAUUCCAUGUGUAGCGGUGAAAUGCGUAGAUAUAUGGAGGAACACCGGUGGCGAAAGCGGCUCUCUGGCUUGUAACUGACGCUGAGGCUCGAAAGCGUGGGGAGC
Molecule: ribosomal RNA, 733 nt
Filed under: uncultured Bacilli bacterium
Lineage: Bacteria; Bacillati; Bacillota; Bacilli
Description: bacterial SSU rRNA
Rfam family: Bacterial small subunit ribosomal RNA
Source: RNAcentral